This 1454-nucleotide ribosomal RNA is filed under the name metagenome. RNAcentral's name for it is "bacterial SSU rRNA". It matches the Rfam family "Bacterial small subunit ribosomal RNA". The record is from RNAcentral.
AGAGUUUGAUCUCGGCUCAGGAUGAACGCUGGCGGCGUGCUUUAUGCAUGCAUGUCGUACGGGUUAUUUCGGUAACUAGUGGCGAACGGGUGAGUAACACGUAAGUAACUUGCCCCGAAGUGGGGGACAACUCCGGGGAACUGGAGCUAAUACCGCAUGUGGUGACAGGACCAAGGUUCCGUCACUAAAGCCUUAGGGCGCUUCGGGAGGGGCUUGCGUCCGAUUAGCUUGUUGGUGGGGUAACGGCUCACCAAGGCGACGUUCGGUAGCUGGUUUGAGAGGAUGACCAGCCACACUGGAACUGAGACACGGUCCAGACUCCUACGGGAGGCAGCAGCAAGGAAUAUUGCGCAAUGGGCGAAAGCCUGACGCAGCGACGCCGCGUGGGGGAUGAAGGCCCUCGGGUUGUAAACUCCUUUUCUCAGGGAAGAAUAAUGACGGUACCUGAGGAAUAAGUCUCGGCUAACUACGUGCCAGCAGCCGCGGUAAUACGUAGGAGGCGAGCGUUAUCCGGAUUUACUGGGCGUAAAGCGGGUGUAGGCGGCUCUUCAAGUCGGAUGUGAAAUCUCUCGGCUUAACUGGGAGGGGUCAUUCGAUACUGCUGGGCUCGAGUGCAGCAGAGGAAAGCGGAAUUCCCGGUGUAGUGGUGAAAUGCGUAGAUAUCGGGAGGAACACCAGUGGCGAAGGCGGCUUUCUGGGCUGUAACUGACGCUGAGACCCAUAAGCGUGGGGAGCAAACAGGAUUAGAUACCCUGGUAGUCCACGCCGUAAACUAUGGAUACUAGGUAUAGGGGGUAUCGACCCCUUCUGUGCCGAAGCUAACGCUUUAAGUAUCCCGCCUGGGGACUACGGCCGCAAGGCUAAAACUCAAAAGAAUUGACGGGGGCCCGCACAAGCAGCGGAGCGUGUGGUUUAAUUCGAUCCAACGCGAAAAACCUUACCAGGGCUUGACAUGUUGGAAGUAGAAACCCGAAAGGGGGACGACCUGUUAAGUCAGGAGCCAUCACAGGUGCUGCAUGGCUGUCGUCAGCUCGUGCCGUGAGGUGUCGGGUUAAGUCCCAUAACGAGCGCAACCCCUGUUGCUAGUUAAUUUCUCUAGCGAUACUGCCCUGCAAAACGGGGAGGAAGGCGGGGAUGACGUCAAGUCAGCAUGGCCCUUAUGCCCUGGGCUACACACACGCUACAAUGGGCGGUACAGCAGGUUGCAAUGGAGCGAUCCGGAGCUAAUCCUUAAAACCGUCCUCAGUUCGGAUUGCAGGCUGAAAUUCGCCUGCAUGAAGUCGGAGUUGCUAGUAACCGCAUAUCAGAACGGUGCGGUGAAUACGUUCUCGGGCCUUGUACACACCGCCCGUCACGUCAUGAAAGUCGGCAACACCUGAAGUCGAUGAGCUAACCUUUUAGGAGGCAGUCGCCUAAGGUGGGGUCGGUGAUUGGGACGAAGUCGUAACAAGGUA